Molecule: ribosomal RNA, 253 nt
Filed under: uncultured bacterium
Lineage: Bacteria
Description: partial 16S ribosomal RNA
Rfam family: Bacterial small subunit ribosomal RNA
Source: RNAcentral
UACGUAGGGUCCGAGCGUUGUCCGGAAUUAUUGGGCGUAAAGGGCUCGUAGGCGGUUUGUCGCGUCGGGAGUGAAAACACGGGGCUUAACCCCGUGCCUGCUUCCGAUACGGGCAGACUAGAGGUAUGCAGGGGAGAACGGAAUUCCUGGUGUAGCGGUGAAAUGCGCAGAUAUCAGGAGGAACACCGGUGGCGAAGGCGGUUCUCUGGGCAUUACCUGACGCUGAGGCGCGAAAGCUAGGGGAGCGAACAGG